ACGUCCUUGAACGACGGAAACUGCGAACGGCUCAUUAAAUCAGUUGCGAUCUACUCGGCGUUCCGCGCCGCCGGAUAACCGUAGUAAUUCUAGGGCUAAUACGUGCGAAGCGCCCGAAGCCGCGAGGCGACGGGCGUUCUCGCCGGAUGUAGGAACCGACCCGGGGACCGCCGGGGCAACCCGGCGCCCCCGAGACGGGGCGAACCACGGUGAAAUGACGGAUCGUCGGCCCCGCGCCGGCGACUCGCCGAAUGAGUUUCUGACCUAUCAACUCGAGACGGCGGGGUAGAGGCCCGCCGCGGUAACGACGGGGUAACGGGGAAUCAGGGUUCGAUUCCGGAGAGGGAGCCCGAGAACGGCUACCACUUCCAAGGAAGGCAGCAGGCGCGCAACUUACCCUAAUCUCGAUUCGAGGAGGUAGUGACAAGAAUACCGAUGCGGGACCCUAC
RNAcentral lists this ribosomal RNA (449 nucleotides) under uncultured eukaryote. Its description in RNAcentral is "bacterial SSU rRNA". It matches the Rfam family "Eukaryotic small subunit ribosomal RNA", at positions 68 to 496 of the family's 1831-position model. The record is from RNAcentral.